Molecule: non-coding RNA, 312 nt
Organism: Chrysemys picta bellii (western painted turtle)
Lineage: Eukaryota; Metazoa; Chordata; Testudines; Emydidae
Source: RefSeq, a predicted model, not a curated record
GUGCCUGUUACCUGGUAUUGAAUUGGUCAGUUUGCUAUGUCCCCCACAUUGCAAUAGAACUACUGUGACAUCACAUCUUGUUUUUCUUCCAAUGGUAGCAGGAACAAGCAGCAGCACUGCAAACUUCCCCAUAAUACCACAGGAACGGGGCUCAAUAUUGAUUAGAGGAACCAUCUCUAGAGGUAUGUUUUCACUAUAUGGUGAACCCAGAUAAUUGGCACCUGGUCUGAGUACUCAGGUUAGCCUAACCUGGGUGCAGGCAUUCCCACAGCAAAGCCCUAACAGAGUACUCUGUCCUCACUGUUUCUACAC